CCCCGUGAUGGCAUGGAAUCUUUGAGACCUGAGAAUUUUCUUCCUUGAUGAAAAAUCACAAGCAAGAUCCCUGAGGGC
This is a non-coding RNA of Oryza brachyantha (malo sina), 78 nucleotides long. Lineage: Eukaryota; Viridiplantae; Streptophyta; Magnoliopsida; Poales; Poaceae. The record is from Rfam.